AGACGACAAAGCCAAACCUGCCGAAAGACAGGCACGGAAAGGCGCGGUUCCAUUGAUUAUAACUGGGUUGCCAUU
RNAcentral lists this non-coding RNA (75 nucleotides) under Desulfobacter postgatei. Its description in RNAcentral is "c-di-GMP sequence". It matches the Rfam family "c-di-GMP-I riboswitch aptamer". Rfam says of the family: GEMM was predicted in a large-scale screen for bacterial structured RNA regulatory elements. Genes associated with GEMM are involved in a diverse array of functions, including chemotaxis regulation, signal transduction, secretion and chitin. RNAcentral also lists the same sequence under 1 other name. Lineage: Bacteria; Pseudomonadati; Thermodesulfobacteriota; Desulfobacteria; Desulfobacterales; Desulfobacteraceae. The record is from RNAcentral.